AGACGCUUCGGUUUACUGCAUUAUAUUGUAAUGUGUGUUGUUGUUUUCGUGGUUUAACGUUAAACGUUAACAAUUGCAAUUCUAUAAAAUAAUUAGUUGAUAUUAAUAUAUGAUAAAGUUGUCGGAAUUUUGUGGCGGGUCGGGGGGUGGGGGGUCUUGCUUUUGAUACUUCCGGAAUCCAUGAGCACGUGAUGUGGUUGCUAAGCAACGUCUGUUGUUGGCGUUGCUAAUCACGCAAGAAGUACUGUAGACAAAAAAAGUAGAAACCGAAUGUCAGAAAGUUUAAAAUAAAAAUGGCUUUACAGUUGACGGCAGUUAAGGACGAGGACCUGCAAGCGACAAAGGUCAAAGGUCCUGGUCCGGGUCUGCUCAGCAUGUCUGACUCCGAUGCAGACACCAUGGACACAGAGGGAGAAGAUGAGAGCGAGGCUGAAACAGAGCAGGACAUUUCUAUCUCCAUUCAGGAUCCUGGUCCUGUCUCUACCGACAGAGAGACAUCUUUCCCUCAGACUCCACCUAAAACUGACGGAGACCUCCGCAUACGCACUGUCCUUCAGUGCGGCUGUGAGGUCAUGACCUGUCAGUUCAGUAAUGACGGGACUCUGCUCGCUGUUGGACUCACUGACGGCUCGAUCAAGGUCUACAGCACUGACAGAGGGGAACUGCUUCACAUUCUGAGAGACCGAGAUAGCAUUGUCUGCUCUCUGCCUGUCACCAGCUUGUGCUUCACACACACCAGCCAAACACACAGCGUCAUGCUGGCUACCUAUGCCAGUGGGUUUGUGAGGUGCUGGUAUGUGUGGGGCCGGCAGUGUGUGUGGCGGCUGAAGGAAGCGAGGAAUAGCGGAAAAAGUGAAGUAGGAGAGCAGAGGCAGACCCUCUGUCUGUCCGUUUCUCCAUCCGGUGAACAAGCAGCGACCGGUGGCUCUGAUUCAGCCAUACAUCUGUAUGAUCUCAACACCCAGCAGAGAAAACAGACCUGCAAGGCCAGCUCGACGAGGACAGCAAUGGACGGGCACAGCUCACGCGUCUUUGCCAUGACGUUUCAUCCCGACAGAGACACGGAGUUCGUUUCGGGAGGAUGGGACAACACUAUUCAGUUCUGGGACACCAGACAGCAACAUGCAGUCAGAAUGCUCUACGGUCCUCAUGUGUGCGGUGAGGCCCUUCACAUUGACCCAUCAGCCAAUCAGAUUCUGUCCGGUUCCUGGAGGAAAUACACCACCCUGGAGGUGUGGGAUUACAGUUCAGGCAAGAAAGUGAGCAGUGUUCCCCCAGACCCACACGGAGAUAGCAUGAUCUACACGUGCCAGUGGUUGGGUCGAGAUCAUAUCGUGGCAGCUGGAGGUCAUGCUAACGCACUGAGGGUCGUCGAUCGCCACAGUCAAACGGUGCGUAUCACCGAAACAUUACGCUAAACAUGACCCGAAGAGAUUUCGAAUGGGCGCUUAAAAAUAUUGGCACCACCGCGUGUCAUUUGGAAGGAGGCUGUGAAGGUGAAGGCACGGUUGUUUGACUUACCCUCUGCCGUGUUCAGUUCUUCCAUCUGUCCAUCUGGAAGGUGGGCGGGACUUAUAGCGGCCACCUCCGGGGACCAAGUGUUCCUAUUGGUCAUUGAUCAGCAAGAAAAGAA
Ictalurus punctatus (channel catfish) is the source of this 1633-nucleotide RNA transcript. RefSeq lists it as uncharacterized. The record is from RefSeq and is a predicted model, not a curated record. NCBI's taxonomy places the organism in Eukaryota, Metazoa, Chordata, Actinopteri, Siluriformes, Ictaluridae. The transcript is spliced from 11 exons.